Ceratosolen solmsi marchali is the source of this 108-nucleotide long non-coding RNA. RefSeq lists it as uncharacterized. NCBI's taxonomy places the organism in Eukaryota, Metazoa, Arthropoda, Insecta, Hymenoptera, Agaonidae. The transcript has 3 exons. The record is from RefSeq and is a predicted model, not a curated record.
AUUAUUUUUAUUGUUUUUCAUAUGCCACGUAUCAUUUAUUAUAGGAGACAAAGUACUUACCUUUACGAAAGAGGAGUGUUAUGCAUGCUGUAAUACUCUAACUACUAU